UGGCUGCCACCAGGUGAAUGCCUGUGCCCUGGCGUCCUGGGGCCCAGAGGACCGGGAGCUUCCAUCAAGAGGCUGCCUCCCAGCACCAAGGCCAGAGAGUGGCCAGGGGAGGCUAAGUACAGGGAUUUCUCAGAAUGGUGGAAGGAGCUCAGCCCAGCCUUGCCCAAGAUGUAUUGCAGGGGAAUCUGUAAGUGCAUUAACC
Molecule: long non-coding RNA, 202 nt
Filed under: Homo sapiens (human)
Lineage: Eukaryota; Metazoa; Chordata; Mammalia; Primates; Hominidae
Description: non-protein coding lnc-C10orf143-46:17
Source: RNAcentral